UCAUGGCCAUAUUUACUUCUCAUUACAGAUGGACUAUUUUCCAAUAUGAUUACAACAAUGAAGAGGUUUCUCACUCUGCCUUACUCACUGAUUGCAAGUUCAAAACUUCUGGACUUCCACUGGGUCUUAGCUCUGUUAAAAAAAUGGUAUUUAUUUACCAGAGUGCCUUUGGAUAUAAGAGGUCCAAAGUUCCAAGGAGUAGAUUUUCAACAUAUAACUACAGACCAAGAGCAAAUACAACAAACCCUAAUAUCAGUAUCAGUGUCACUAGUGACCUAGUCUGCUGGUAA
Molecule: long non-coding RNA, 290 nt
Filed under: Cyanistes caeruleus (blue tit)
Lineage: Eukaryota; Metazoa; Chordata; Aves; Passeriformes; Paridae
Description: lncRNA (ENSCCEG00000002079.1)
Source: RNAcentral